RNAcentral lists this ribosomal RNA (253 nucleotides) under uncultured bacterium. Its description in RNAcentral is "partial 16S ribosomal RNA". It matches the Rfam family "Bacterial small subunit ribosomal RNA", at positions 524 to 776 of the family's 1533-position model. The record is from RNAcentral.
UACGCAGGGAGCAAGCGUUGUCCGGAAUCAUUGGGCGUAAAGCGCGCGUAGGCGGCCCUGUAAGUCCGUUGUGAAAGUCAAAGGCCCAACCUUUGAAAGCCGAUGGAUACUGCAGGGCUAGAGUCCGGAAGAGGCGAGUGGAAUUCCUGGUGUAGCGGUGGAAUGCGCAGAUAUCAGGAGGAACACCUGUGGUGUAGACAGCUUACUGGACCAUUUCUGACGCUGAGACACGAAAGCGUGGGUAGCAAACAGG